UUAAAAAGGCGGCAGGAAUAGGAGCAUCCAUACGGUCACGCAAUUAGAACCCCGCCGUGAGAUGCGUCGGUGGCUGUGAGGCAGGUGGGACAUGCCUGGGAGGCUGAAAGGGCUUCCGGACGCAAAAAUCGCACCAGGCGCCGUCGUACGCCGGACCAACGGUGCAUCAUAACAUAACUAAUUGUUAGAAAGGCGGCAGGAAUAGGAGCAUCCAUACGCGCAAGCAAUUAGAACCCCGCCGUGAGAUGCGUCGGGGGCUGUGAGGCAGGUGGGGACAUGCCUGGAGGCUGAAAGGGCUUCCGGACGCAUAAAUCGCACCAGGCGCCGUCGUACGCCGGACCAACGAUGCAUCAUAACAUCAACUAGUUGCCAGAAAAGCGGCGGGGAACGCGUCUUCACGCUCGCUAGCCAACCAUCAUGGGGAAGGGAUGUAAGACCAUCCUCUGGGAUGGGUCGAACUACUCCCACUGGCUCGGCGAGUUAGGCGAUUUCCUCGCAACGUCCA
This 505-nucleotide long non-coding RNA is filed under the name Volvox carteri. RNAcentral describes it as "long non-coding RNA (VCAR_LNC001240)". Lineage: Eukaryota; Viridiplantae; Chlorophyta; Chlorophyceae; Chlamydomonadales; Volvocaceae. The record is from RNAcentral.